CCCUGGUAGUNCNNNCNGUAAACGAUAAGUGNUUAAGUGUUAGGGUGUUUCCGCCCGUUAGUGAUGCAGCUAACGCAUUAAGCACUCCGCCUGGGGAGUACGGUCGCAAGAGUGAAACUCAANGGAAUUGACGGGGGCCUGCACAANCGGUGGAGCAUGUGGUUUAAUUCGAAGCAACGNGAAGAACCUUACCAGGUCUUGACAUCCUCUGACAACCCUAGAGAUAGGGCUUUCCCUUCGGGGACAGAGUGACAGGUGGUGCAUGGUUGUCGUCAGCUCGUGUCGUGAGAUGUUGGGUUAAGUCCCGCAACGAGCGCAACCCUUGAUCUUAGUUGCCAGCAUUCAGUUGGGCACUCUAAGGUGACUGCCGGUGACAAACCGGAGGAAGGUGGGGAUGACGUCAAAUCAUCAUGCCCCUUAUGACCUGGGCUACACACGUGCUACAAUGGACAGAACAAAGGGCUGCAAGACCGCAAGGUUUAGCCAAUCCCAUAAAUCUGUUCUCAGUUCGGAUCGCAGUCUGCAACUCGACUGCGUGAAGCUGGAAUCGCUAGUAAUCGCGGAUCAGCAUGCCGCGGUGAAUACGUUCCCGGGCCUUGUACACACCGCCCGUCACACCACGAGAGUUUGCAACACCCGAAGUCGGUGAGGUAACCUUUAUGGAGCCAGCCGCCGAAGGUGGGGCAGAUGANNNNGG
Molecule: ribosomal RNA, 697 nt
Filed under: Bacillus safensis
Lineage: Bacteria; Bacillati; Bacillota; Bacilli; Caryophanales; Bacillaceae
Description: bacterial SSU rRNA
Rfam family: Bacterial small subunit ribosomal RNA
Source: RNAcentral